GGUAGAGUAGCUCAAAUGGUAGAGCACCUGCUUAGCAAGCAUGAAGCCCUGAAUUCAAACUCCACUACUA
RNAcentral lists this transfer RNA (70 nucleotides) under Dipodomys ordii (Ord's kangaroo rat). It matches the Rfam family "tRNA". Rfam says of the family: Transfer RNA (tRNA) molecules are approximately 80 nucleotides in length. Lineage: Eukaryota; Metazoa; Chordata; Mammalia; Rodentia; Heteromyidae. The record is from Rfam by way of RNAcentral.